UAAAUAUAGAGGCAAUAUUAAAGUUAAAGAUAACAUAAAGAGUAUUUGAACAGAUUUAAAAAAGUAGGAUAUGUAUAGAAAUUAUAGUAAAAUCUUGAAAAAAUAUGUAGAAAUGGCAUUUGUACAUAUUUGAUUAAUCAAGACAUAAUGUAGAGUUUACAAAAUAAAAUAAUAACACUCAUCCUAGCAUUUUACUUUAGCUCUCAUAGAGAGCUAAAAUGUUCAUGAGUAUCAAGCAGAACAGGAAUUGACUGCAUCAACUGAACUAAUAGAAGAAUAAGGUAAUCUUUUUGACUUUUUGCUUAAAACAUUGCUGAUCCUUUGUUUUGUUAUUUUCAGAGGCAAGACAACUUUUCUUUCGAGCUAUUAACAGCUUUUAAUAAUUUACUAUACUCCUCUGAACAAAAUUUGGAACAUAUUUGUUUCUCUCUACCUAAUUUCCCCAGAAUUUGGAAGCUAUUUUUUGGACAAAAUUCUAAUUUUUCUAAGCUACAAGUCUGCAAAAUGAUGUAUCGAUGUUUUUUUCAUUUUUUCUAAUUUGGAGUCACCAAAAACUAAGGUAUGUUUUCAUAAAGCCCUGUGAACUGAAGCUAAACAAUUUAAAUUUCAGAAGAAAAUAACAGCAACCUAUUUAUAUACAUAAGCCACUUUCAUACCUGCCUACUAAUGUAUGAACUUCAGAGUUAUGUGGUCUAUAUGCAUUUUCCAGGAUUGUUCUUUUGUUUGUUGUUGUUUUUCUCCCUUCCUCCUUCUAUUUUCUCUUCAUAGGACAUGAGAAUUCACAACCUGCUAAAAAUGAGCUUUGUUAAUAA
This 812-nucleotide long non-coding RNA is filed under the name Homo sapiens (human). RNAcentral's name for it is "HSALNT0085791". The record is from RNAcentral. Lineage: Eukaryota; Metazoa; Chordata; Mammalia; Primates; Hominidae.